RNAcentral lists this ribosomal RNA (445 nucleotides) under uncultured bacterium. RNAcentral's name for it is "partial 16S ribosomal RNA". It matches the Rfam family "Bacterial small subunit ribosomal RNA", at positions 354 to 796 of the family's 1533-position model. The record is from RNAcentral.
GUGAGGAAUAUUGGUCAAUGGGCGGGAGCCUGAACCAGCCAAGUCGCGUGAAGGAAGAAGGAUCUAUGGUUCGUAAACUUCUUUUGCAGGGGAAUAAAGUGCAGGACGUGUCCUGUUUUGUAUGUACCCUGAGAAUAAGGAUCGGCUAACUCCGUGCCAGCAGCCGCGGUAAUACGGAGGAUCCGAGCGUUAUCCGGAUUUACUGGGUUUAAAGGGUGCGUAGGUGGUUUGAUAAGUCAGGGGUGAAAGUUUGCAGCUUAACUGUAAAAAUGCCGUUGAAACUGUCGGACUUGAGUGUAAAUGAGGUAGGCGGAAUGCGUGGUGUAGCGGUGAAAUGCAUAGAUAUCACGCAGAACUCCGAUUGCGAAGGCAGCUUACUAAGCUACAACUGACACUGAAGCACGAAAGCGUGGGGAUCAAACAGGAUUAGAAACCCUAGUAGUCC